This 406-nucleotide ribosomal RNA is filed under the name uncultured bacterium. Its description in RNAcentral is "partial 16S ribosomal RNA". It matches the Rfam family "Bacterial small subunit ribosomal RNA", at positions 30 to 526 of the family's 1533-position model. The record is from RNAcentral.
AUUGAACGCUGGCGGCAGGCCUAACACAUGCAAGUCGAGCGAGCGGCGGACGGGUGAGUAAUGUCUGGGAAACUGCCUGAUGGAGGGGGAUAACUACUGGAAACGGUAGCUAAUACCGCAUACCAUCAGAUGUGCCCAGAUGGGAUUAGCUAGUAGGUGGGGUAACGGCUCACCUAGGCGACGAUCCCUAGCUGGUCUGAGAGGAUGACCAGCCACACUGGAACUGAGACACGGUCCAGACUCCUACGGGAGGCAGCAGUAGGGAAUAUUGCGCAAUGGGCGAAAGCCUGAUGCAGCCAUGCCGCGUGUAUGAAGAAGGCCUUCGGGUUGUAAAGUACUUUCAGCGGGGAGGCGGUACCCAAAGAAGAAGCACCGGCUAACUACGUGCCAGCAGCCGCGGUAAUAC